Molecule: transfer RNA, 75 nt
Filed under: Clostridiaceae bacterium
Lineage: Bacteria; Bacillati; Bacillota; Clostridia; Eubacteriales; Clostridiaceae
Description: tRNA-Gln
Rfam family: tRNA
About the family: Transfer RNA (tRNA) molecules are approximately 80 nucleotides in length. Their secondary structure includes four short double-helical elements and three loops (D, anti-codon, and T loops).
Source: RNAcentral
ACAGGCAUAGCCAAGCGGUAAGGCGGGGGCCUUUGAAGCCUUAAUGCGAAAGUUCGAAUCUUUCUGCCUGUGCCA